CGUUAAGAAGCUAAACCGGGUUACAGCGUUAGCCUUUUAAGCUAAAAACUGGUGGUUCCCACCCACCCUUAACGU
RNAcentral lists this transfer RNA (75 nucleotides) under Nerophis ophidion (straightnose pipefish). Its description in RNAcentral is "tRNA-Lys". It matches the Rfam family "tRNA". Rfam says of the family: Transfer RNA (tRNA) molecules are approximately 80 nucleotides in length. Lineage: Eukaryota; Metazoa; Chordata; Actinopteri; Syngnathiformes; Syngnathidae. The record is from RNAcentral.